AGUGAACGCUGGCGGCAGGCCUAACACAUGCAAGUCGAGCGGCAGCGGGUUCCCGCGAGGGGAUGCCGGCGAGCGGCGGACGGGUGAGGAACACAUCGGAAUCUGCCUGGUUGUGGGGGAUAACGUAGGGAAACUUACGCUAAUACCGCAUGCGACCCUGAGUCGACGGACUGGGGGUGAAAGUGAGGGACCUUCGGGCCUCACGCGACCAGAUGAGCCGAUGUCGGAUUAGCUAGUUGGCGGGGUAACGGCCCGCCAAGGCGACGAUCCGUAGCUGGUCUGAGAGGAUGAUCAGCCACACUGGGACUGAGACACGGCCCAGACUCCUACGGGAGGCAGCAGUGGGGAAUCUUGGACAAUGGGCGCAAGCCUGAUCCAGCCAUGCCGCGU
This 390-nucleotide ribosomal RNA is filed under the name uncultured bacterium. RNAcentral describes it as "bacterial SSU rRNA". It matches the Rfam family "Bacterial small subunit ribosomal RNA", at positions 30 to 402 of the family's 1533-position model. The record is from RNAcentral.